AGUCGAGCGGUAGAGAGAAGCUUGCUUCUCUUGAGAGCGGCGGACGGGUGAGUAAUGCCUAGGAAUCUGCCUGGUAGUGGGGGAUAACGCUCGGAAACGGACGCUAAUACCGCAUACGUCCUACGGGAGAAAGCAGGGGACCUUCGGGCCUUGCGCUAUCAGAUGAGCCUAGGUCGGAUUAGCUAGUUGGUGAGGUAAUGGCUCACCAAGGCGACGAUCCGUAACUGGUCUGAGAGGAUGAUCAGUCACACUGGAACUGAGACACGGUCCAGACUCCUACGGGAGGCAGCAGUGGGGAAUAUUGGACAAUGGGCGAAAGGCUGAUCCAGCCAUGCCGCGUGUGUGAAGAAGGUCUUCGGAUUGUAAAGCACUUUAAGUUGGGAGGAAGGGCAGUAACCUAAUACGUUAUUGUUUUGACGUUACCGACAGAAUAAGCACCGGCUAACUCUGUGCCAGCAGCCGCGGUAAU
Molecule: ribosomal RNA, 469 nt
Filed under: uncultured bacterium
Lineage: Bacteria
Description: bacterial SSU rRNA
Rfam family: Bacterial small subunit ribosomal RNA
Source: RNAcentral